This is a long non-coding RNA of Manis pentadactyla (Chinese pangolin), 1611 nucleotides long. RefSeq lists it as uncharacterized. The transcript has 3 exons. The record is from RefSeq and is a predicted model, not a curated record. Lineage: Eukaryota; Metazoa; Chordata; Mammalia; Pholidota; Manidae.
GAGGCUUGUUUUCUGGCGUCUCUGACUGGCCGGCUCCUUUUGCGCAGACCUAAUGUCCUUUCACCUGAUAGUCACUCCCUCAGCCUUGGGACGGUCUGAGACCGGGAGGCUGUAACCUGUGGCUCCACUGGCCGGGGUGCGCUAAUAUUUUUCUCGUUUCCAUCAAAGGACUAAAGUUCUGGAAAAGGAGCCAAUCCUGGUGGAUCCUUCAGGUGAUAGAGACUCCAGGUCUGUGUCAGCCGGGAAGAAAUGAGAUAUAAGCAGCUGAGAACAUCACCUUGAAAAAACAAAUCAUGAUGUAUUCCUAUGUUUCUCUGUUGGUGAACAUUUACGUUGCGUAUUUCCACAGUGGAGAAGAGCUAUCAGGCUUCCUAUAUUAGAGACCAUCACAGGGCAUCCUUGGGAGCAGUGACCUGAAGAUGGACAAGCCAUAGGAUGGAAGGAGCUGCAUCUCUGAGUCACCACUGGAGAACAGUCACCCCCAAUGGAUUUGGAGAGAAGUCUUCUCUAAUAUUCACUUCUAAGUCCCCAUUGUAAUCAACUUCUUUUAUUCUCCUAGCACUCAGUGUGGUUUAGGUUGAAUUCUAGAUUCUUAUAAUAUCUUGGACAUGGAUAAUAAGGAAAAGACCUUCACAGAUAUGUAAGGCAAAGCAGAUCAAGACAAGCAGAGCAGGCUGAGUGCAGUAAGACUUCACAGGGUAAAGGACGGCCUUGCAGAAGAGCAGAGCAGUGGUGCAGAGGUAGGCCGCUGAAGGAGGUAGGUCCUCGGGUCAUGCCAGUACCCACCAGAGAUUGGCAGCACUAUUUAGAGAAACUGAGAAAAAGCUCUACCUACUGCAGUCACAAAAGACUGGGCUCAGAAUGGUGGGUAAAUCAGGGAUUAACAUCUCCGUUUGAUGGAUGAGGAAAUUAAGUUUAUAGAGAUUAGAAUGUUGACCUAAUACAGUACCUUAUUUCAUGGUAGAAGCACAGUAAAUAUUUGUUGAAUGGAUGUACUAAUCUAAGACCUUUAAUGCUUAAGCCUCUACCAGGGAUUGAAAAUUUGCCUAUUGGGUGAUCUGUAGGGCUGUUACUGGUAGUCAGGAAGACAUGUGGUUGGGUACAGUGUUUUUAAAAGUUUGGAUGUUAAGUGUGCUCUUCAGUAUGCCCUGAGCCUUACCACUCCCUACUGCCUUGUAACUCACCCAGUUACCAUGUAACAUCAUCCAUCUCUCUCCUAUGGCUUUAGUUGUAUGGAUUCCUUGCUUACACUUUCCUGUUCACAAGUCCCUCUUUAAAUAGAGUUUAUUCCUAACCCUGUCAUUAGCCCUUUCCCAUCUCCUUCCUGCAGUUAUCUUCCCUCUUCCUCCCUUUAUCUAUCCACAUAUGUCCUCCGUAUUUUCUCGAGCUUCUUAAUGUUAUAAACAUAAACUUAGGCAGCUGUUUAUAAUAUGAUUGAACUAGGAAACCUGUGUAAAGAAUAGAAUUAUACCAUAUCUACUUUCUAUAACUUUGUGUUAUACAUAUUUAAAACAUAUAAAUAUUAUUGUACCAUGUGGUUAUUAUGCAAACAAGCAGUGCUUAUAAAUUAUACUUAAGGUAACUUUUAUAAAAAUGUCACAACUGCCUGGG